RNAcentral lists this long non-coding RNA (1058 nucleotides) under Camelus dromedarius (Arabian camel). RNAcentral's name for it is "lncRNA (ENSCDRG00005004013.1)". The record is from RNAcentral. Lineage: Eukaryota; Metazoa; Chordata; Mammalia; Artiodactyla; Camelidae.
CAGAGCUAGAGGUGGAGCUGCUGUUAGCCACGUAAGGCUGGUGGGGCCAGGGUGGGUGAUGGUGGGGGAAGUUGGCUGGAAGUCCACCUAGAAGGGGCUUCACUGUGCUCACCUGACCCCUUGGGGUGGCGUCUGUGCCCGCUGCCCACGCCCGCCCUGCCACAUGCCAGGAUCAGCGAGCAGGAGCUGCGUCCGGUCUCUGCCCGAGCUCGUGUCUUCAUCGAGCUGCCGCUGUCCAUCACAGGGUAAGCCCUGCCCAGGGGGGCACCGCCGCCAGAGGGGUGGGCACUGCUACUGCCAAACCCAGGCCUGGGCUCUACCUCACCCUCCAUCAGGCCCCAGGCCUCCUGAGCCCCCGUUUUGACCCCUCCUCGCCAGGGUGGCCAUUCCCCAGCAGCUCUUCUUCUCCGGCGUGGUGCGGGGUGAGAGUGCCAUGCGGUCUGAGCGGGAUGUGGGCAGCAAGGUCAAGUACGAGGUCACGGUCUCCAACCAAGGCCAGUCACUCAACACCCUGGGCUCUGCCUUCCUCAACAUCAUGUGGCCCCACGAGAUUGCCAACGGGAAGUGGCUGCUGUACCCCAUGCGGGUCGAGCUGGAGGGCGGGCAGGGGCCCGGGCAGAAGGGGCUCUGUUCCCCCAGGCCCAACGCCCUCUACCUGGAUGUGGACAGCAGGGACAGGAGGCGGCGGGAGCUGGGGCAGCCGGAGCAGCCGGAGCCUCGUGAGCAGCCGGAGCCCAGCACGUCCUGGUGGCCAGUGUCCUCUGCUGAGAAGAAGAAAAACGUCACCCUGGUGCGGGCAGGGCAAACUUGGUGCAGCCAGAAUGGGGGAGGGGGCGCGUGGUAUGAUAGAGGAUGCGGGUGGUGGGGAGGGAAUGGUGCGUCAGGACGGUGGGUGGCGCGUGGGGAGGUGCGAUGGUCUGACAGCUGGGCAAGUUGACAGGACAGUGCACAACACGCCUGUGAGGCAGCUGCGGACGCCAAAGUCCCACCCCUCCACGCUCGCCAGGUGCUUACUCCAGGGCAGGCGCUUACCUAUAGCCUUUUCAUCUUGUGGAUGA